This 78-nucleotide transfer RNA is filed under the name Cordylochernes scorpioides. RNAcentral's name for it is "tRNA-Thr". The stretch from base 14 to 69 matches the Rfam family "tRNA", at positions 10 to 63 of the family's 71-position model. From Rfam's summary of the family: Transfer RNA (tRNA) molecules are approximately 80 nucleotides in length. Their secondary structure includes four short double-helical elements and three loops (D, anti-codon, and T loops). Further hydrogen bonds mediate the characteristic L-shaped molecular structure. tRNAs have two regions of fundamental functional importance: the anti-codon, which is responsible for specific mRNA codon recognition, and the 3' end, to which the tRNAs corresponding amino acid is attached (by aminoacyl-tRNA synthetases). tRNAs cope with the degeneracy of the genetic code in two manners: having more than one tRNA (with a specific anti-codon) for a particular amino acid; and 'wobble' base-pairing, i.e. permitting non-standard base-pairing at the 3rd anti-codon position. Lineage: Eukaryota; Metazoa; Arthropoda; Arachnida; Pseudoscorpiones; Chernetidae. The record is from RNAcentral.
GAAAGGGUGACAUGCCUAAUGGACAUGGCAUCUGCCCGGUAAGCGGAACACUGUGGGUUCGAUUCCCAUCCCUAGACA